UACGGAGGGUGCAAGCGUUAUCCGGAUUCACUGGGUUUAAAGGGUGCGUAGGUGGGUUGGUAAGUCAGUGGUGAAAUCUCCGAGCUUAACUUGGAAACUGCCAUUGAUACUAUCAGUCUUGAAUACCGUGGAGGUCAGCGGAAUAUGUCAUGUAGCGGUGAAAUGCUUAGAUAUGACAUAGAACACCAAUUGCGAAGGCAGCUGUCUACACGAAUAUUGACACUGAGGCACGAAAGCGUGGGGAUCAAACAGG
This 253-nucleotide ribosomal RNA is filed under the name uncultured bacterium. RNAcentral's name for it is "partial 16S ribosomal RNA". It matches the Rfam family "Bacterial small subunit ribosomal RNA", at positions 524 to 776 of the family's 1533-position model. The record is from RNAcentral.